Molecule: ribosomal RNA, 1010 nt
Filed under: Petasiger phalacrocoracis
Lineage: Eukaryota; Metazoa; Platyhelminthes; Trematoda; Plagiorchiida; Echinostomatidae
Description: partial 28S ribosomal RNA
Rfam family: Eukaryotic large subunit ribosomal RNA
Source: RNAcentral
GAUACUGCUCCAUCCUAAGUCCUAUAAUGAGUAAGGUUACUCGGACAUGGCCCAAUGAGGGUGAAAGGCCCGUGGGGGUGGAGAGUCAGACUGGCCAGUAUCUCCCUGAGCAGACCUUGGAGUCGGGUUGUUUGUGAAUGCAGCCCAAAGUGGGUGGUAAACUCCAUCCAAGGCUAAAUACUAGCACGAGUCCGAUAGCGAACAAGUACCGUGAGGGAAAGUUGAAAAGUACUUUGAAGAGAGAGUAAACAGUGCGUGAAACCGUUCAGAGGUAAACGGGUGGAGUUGAACUGCAAGCUCUGAGGAUUCAGCUGGUGAGAUUGGCGUGAUCUUGGUCACGUGAGUUGUAUUGCCGUGUCUGCUUAGCUGCAGGUCCUCGCUUCGGUGGGGAUGCGCGUCUAGCUUAUCAAGCUUUGUGCGCACGGGAACUUUUCGAACUCGCUUGCCAGUGCACUUUCUCAGGGUGUUCACCACGACCGGCGUUGUCGUCUGGCUGGUGCGGUUAAACCGGUCUUGUAGGGUCCUUGUGGCCUUGCUUGGUCGGGAUGGCAGGUAGCCCGUUGUGUAUUUUAUAUGCUUCGGGUGUAAUAGCCGACUGCAUCGGUUCUGUGCGGUACGUCGGAGACGGCGGCUUGUUGUGCGUGCGGGCGUGCCUGUGCGCCGGCGGCUCUGGGUCUGGUUGCCUUGUUGCUUGUGAAUGCAGGCCAGGUGAUGGCUCGGGGUUGUUCGGUGUGCGGUUGCGUUCGUUGCACUUUAAAGGGCCAAUAGUCUGUGGUGUAGUGGUAGACUAUCCACCCGACCCGUCUUGAAACACGGACCAAGGAGAGUAACAUGUGCGCGAGUCAUUGGGCGUUACGAAACCCAAAGGCGAAGUGAAAGUAAAGGUUCGGCUUGUCCGGGCUGAGGUGAGAUCUUGUCGUUUCUCACGCAUGGUACUACCAAGCAUCGAGCGGCAGGCGCAUCACCGGCCCGUCCCAUGGCGUAGUGGCGGCUUCGUGCUUGCUCAUCGU